Long non-coding RNA from Eriocheir sinensis (Chinese mitten crab), 1813 nucleotides. RefSeq lists it as uncharacterized. The record is from RefSeq and is a predicted model, not a curated record. The transcript has 2 exons. NCBI's taxonomy places the organism in Eukaryota, Metazoa, Arthropoda, Malacostraca, Decapoda, Varunidae.
CCAGACAGGCCAGGAUAGGUAAACAUGUGGUGAAGGCAACCGGAUGUAUAUGCACGGAGCCAAACACACACACACACACACACACACACACACACACACACACACACACACACACACACACACACACACACACACACACACACACACACACACACACACACACACACACACACACACACACACACACGGACAUACACACCCACAUAUAUAACGUAUCCACAAACAGUCCUAAAUUACACACACACACACACACACACACACACACACACACACACACACACACACACACACACACACACACACGGAUUAUGUCCAGCUAAAAUAUUCGCUGUCACGCGGAGCAAACAAGGCAAAACAAUUGUAAGAAAAAAAAGCAAGGGAAGAAAAAUGAGUCCUGCUUGACACUGCACAGAGGCCGCUGACAGUACGCGAGUGAAAUAAAGCAGGGCUGUUGAUGGCCUGGCGACUCGUGACAGCAAUGUGGCAGUUAUGACGUGUUAGGAGGAGGAGGAGGCUUAUAGAAGGCAGAGGUGGAGCACGAUUUUUUUCUUUCUCUUUUACGGUACAGGAGACAUUUCAAGGGCAAAACAACACUCAAGAUAAUGCCCCCGACACGCGACUCUAUAAAAAUAAAAAGAGGGGAAAAAGAGGAAGAAGCUGACAUACACUGCUUAAGAUUUAGUUCGGAAAUCAUCGCAGUGACCAUGAAAAAGAUUAUCGGCACCCGUGAUUUGCAGAUAAGUAAUAAGAAAAAGAUUCUAAGAUGUACCACAAGGACGAAGGAAACAGGACAAGGCACUAAACUGAAAGCAGAGUCCAUUUAUAACACUAAAUCCUAUUAUCUCUGACACGGAAGGCACGACAAAACUCCCACAACUUAUAUCUACUAAACGGGACUAAUUCCUUCAUAGUGAACGCCCUGACCAUAACAAAUAGCGGCUUAGCAAUAGCUUGAGAUAAACACAACCUUGGCAAGCUUGUGUCGCCUCGGGAACCCACGCGCCAGGGACAUGAGGAAGUGGCAAGCGUGUGACGGGGCGAGGUGUAACGGGAUGACUGUCACCUCAAAACACACACCAUUGCGCCCGCCGGUGGAGCGUGAGUCACGGCCGCAUAAGGUAGAGAGGUAGGCGGUGGUGUGUGUCCUCCACUUCGCACACGCCACUUGAUUCAGGGGAAAAAAAUGAUAAGGAACUGCUCUGUUAGAUUUAAUGAGCUGUGAAAAAAGUAAGGGAAAAAAUAAUAAGAAAUUGCUUUGGAAAAAUUAAUGUGCUAUGAAAGAAAUCGGGAAAAAUAUUAAGAAACUGCUCUGGAAAAUUUAAUGAGCUAUGAAUUUAUGACAAAAAAUCAGGAAAAAAUAUUAAGAAAUUGCUCUGGAAAAAUUUAUGUGCUAUGAAAGAAAUCGGGAAAAAUAUUAAGAAACUGCUCUGGAAAAUUUAAUGAGGUACGAAUUUAUGACAAAAAAUCAGGAAAAAAUAUUAAGAAACUGCUCUGGAAAAUUUAAUGAGGUACGAAUUUAUGACAAAAAAUCAGGAAAAAAUAUUAAGAAACUGCUCUGGAAAAUUUAAUGAGGUACGAAUUUAUGACAAAAAAUCAGGAAAAAAUAAUAAGAAACUGCUCUGUAACAAUAAACGAAGUAUGUAAAAAAAUCAGGGGAAAAAAUGGCCAGAAACUGCUCUGAAAAAUCGAAUGAACCAUGAAAAAUAAAUAAAGACCUGAUAGAUAUUCUUUCUUUUAACAGCAGGGCAAUUUGUGUGUCCUUCAUUUCGCACACACCACUUGAAUGAGGAAAAAAACCAAUAACAAACUGCCU